This is a long non-coding RNA of Armigeres subalbatus, 366 nucleotides long. RefSeq lists it as uncharacterized. The record is from RefSeq and is a predicted model, not a curated record. The transcript has 2 exons. NCBI's taxonomy places the organism in Eukaryota, Metazoa, Arthropoda, Insecta, Diptera, Culicidae.
GCUAAAGUUCACACGCCCGGAACAUUUUGAAAAACGAUGGGGAAAAAAAGAUGGAUCCGACGUCCAAAAUUGUAGAUGGUGCAAACGAGCGCAAAACAAUAAGCUGAAUACGACAAUUACGCCGUAGCGAGUCAAAUCUACCAACGUCACGAAAAUAUUUCAUCACGAUUUGGUAAAAACGCCCAGCGGAAUGAUGUGGACGAGGAUGUGGAAGUGGAAAGAUACACAAAACGUAUGUGUUUUUUGUCAGACACUUCAAGCUCUACAAGUUUAUCCUGCGGUGCAGCAACGGUUGCAUUAAAGAUGCUAUUAUAUAAAUAAAAUCAUGAAAAAAUCUGGAAUAAGAUAAUAAAAAAGCAAAAUAUA